CCUACGGGAGGCUGCAGUGGGGAAUAUUGCGCAAUGGGCGAAAGCCUGACGCAGCGACGCCGCGUGAGGGAUGAAGGUCUUCGGAUCGUACACCUCUGUCAGCAGGGAAGAACGGUCACUGUGCUAAUCAGCAGUGAAUUGACGGUACCUGCAAAGGAAGCACCGGCUAACUCCGUGCCAGCAGCCGCGGUAAUACGGAGGGUGCGAGCGUUACUCGGAAUUACUGGGCGUAAAGCGCUCGUAGGCGGUAUUUCAAGUCAAGGGUGAAAUCCCCGCGCUCAACGUGGGAACUGCCUUUGAAACUGGCAAACUGGAGUGUGUGAGAGGAUAGUGGAAUGCCAGGUGUAGGAGUGAAAUCCGUAGAUAUCUGGAGGAACAUCAGUGGCGAAGGCGACUAUCUGGCACAUAACUGACGCUGAGGAGCGAAAGCGUGGGUAGCAAACAGGAUUAGAUACCCUAGUAGUC
RNAcentral lists this ribosomal RNA (465 nucleotides) under uncultured bacterium. RNAcentral's name for it is "partial 16S ribosomal RNA". It matches the Rfam family "Bacterial small subunit ribosomal RNA", at positions 338 to 795 of the family's 1533-position model. The record is from RNAcentral.